CUCGAUCUCCCACGUUCCACAUGGAGGUAAUCAGUCGGUGGAUGGGUUAGUUCGGGUGUUCGUCAAUUCGUCGUUCUGCUCAACUUCAUCUCUUCCUCCGCCUAUUCGCGAUCUUGUUCAGACUGGAGUGCCAUACCCUUGUUUGCAAUCUCCUCUGUUUUCUUUUGUUUGGGCCUUUGCCCCCUAUGUAAUAAAAAAAAAAAAAUGGAAAAAGAAAAGAAGAAGAAGAAGAAGGGAAACAUAAAGCGAAGGAAAGUGACUAUUAAUUGUAAAGGUGC
This 278-nucleotide long non-coding RNA is filed under the name Elaeis guineensis (African oil palm). Its description in RNAcentral is "long non-coding RNA (EGUI_LNC028009)". Lineage: Eukaryota; Viridiplantae; Streptophyta; Magnoliopsida; Arecales; Arecaceae. The record is from RNAcentral.